AUUGAACGCUGGCGGCAGGCCUAACACAUGCAAGUCGAGCGAGCGGCGGAUGGGUGAGUAAUGUAUGGGGACUGCCCGAUAGAGGUGGAUAACUACUGGAAACGGUAACUAAUACUGCAUACUAUCGGAUAACCCAUAUGGGAUUAGCUAGUAGGUGAUGUAAUGGCUCACCCAGGCGACGAUCCCUAGCUGGUCUGAGAGGAUGAUCAGCCACACUGGGACUGGGACACGGCCCAGACUCCUACGGAGGCAGCAGUGGGGAAUAUUGGACAAUGGGCGAAAGCCUGAUGCAGCCAUGCCGCGUGUGUGAAGAAGGCCCUAGGGUUGUAAAGUACUUUCAGUCGGGAGGCGUUACCGACAGAAGAAGCACCGGCUAACUCCGUGCCAGCAGCCGCGGUAAUUC
RNAcentral lists this ribosomal RNA (403 nucleotides) under uncultured bacterium. RNAcentral describes it as "partial 16S ribosomal RNA". It matches the Rfam family "Bacterial small subunit ribosomal RNA", at positions 30 to 526 of the family's 1533-position model. The record is from RNAcentral.